RNAcentral lists this long non-coding RNA (254 nucleotides) under Elaeis guineensis (African oil palm). RNAcentral describes it as "long non-coding RNA (EGUI_LNC037648)". The record is from RNAcentral. Lineage: Eukaryota; Viridiplantae; Streptophyta; Magnoliopsida; Arecales; Arecaceae.
ACGCCUCUAAGAUCACCUCUAAAAAAUCCAAGAUCUGGUACCCAACCAGAUCAGGCCUGGACCGAGGUCUUUCAAUUCAUAGAUCUUGAAUCGGGGUAUUCUAGAUAGGGAAGAAGGUAGAUAGAACCAAACCUUGCAGAUCUGUCCUGCUGCAGCCUUUCCUGUAGAUCUGUUGAUGGAGAUCUCACCCGCACCUCAAACGACCUCAGAUCAACUCCAGAUCUGAGAGGAACUUGUACCAACCUCGUAGCAAG